GACGUGGGUCCCUCACUCAGGAAAACCUGACUUUAUUUCUCCGCCGUCUCCAUUCCUAUUGAUUCUCAAGGAGUCCCUCACUCUCAGUUAUCUGCUGCUGGUUCUUUUCCUGUUUUCGAUCAUGUCGUUGUUGAGGAUUCUCAUUCUGAUAGCGAAGGCGAAAGAGGAAAUCACAGGGAUCCACUGCUUGGUGAUGGAUUAGAGAUUGAAACAGUCAUAUUUACUUUCUGAAAAUGAUUAGCAGCGGUCACAACAACUAGAUCGUGUAACUGGAGAUCAACAAUCGAAAGAGCUAGGUUCUGAAAAUCAUGCGCUAGCUGGUGAAGGGGAUGUGGUAGAUUCUGGUGCUGGGCUGAAGGCAGCUGAUGUUGAGCCGUUCCAAUACUAGCUCAAAGCCCUAAUGGAUUUUUCAAGAUCCACCAUCUGGGUGGAAUUGAGUUUCUUUCGCAACCCCUGUUCGACCAAUUCCAGAGUGAAGGCGUAAAGAAUAUUGAUAAAGCUUUGGCUCCUAAGGUUCCCAAUAUGUAACUUCAUACAACAGAAGGAGACCAAUCUCUUGUCUAUGCGAAUGCUGAUUUGAUUUUCUUCUCGAGCGUCCAAAUCUGAGAAGGAUUGCAACUACCAGAAACAAUUUCAAACAAACUGAACCAGGUGCAGAGAAACCUGUUCGCAAUCAGAAAAACUGAACAGGACAAGAAUCAGGAUAAGGGUGCUGUCAACACCAGUGAUAACAACACUGCCACUGGUAACCAACUGAUCUCCUCUACAGUCCGGAUCCUGCUCGUGAAUGCUUUGAAGAAUGUAACUGAUGAAGUCAAAGUGUUGGGAGACCGUCAUGAAAGCAUGGGGAAGGAGCUUAUUAAGAUGCAGAAGGAAUUUUCGGAUGGGGCAAGGUCUGUGGAUAGAUUGAAGAGCAAUGUGGUCUUGUUGCAAGGUAUGAUGGAGCUUAUUCCUAAGUAGGCUGUGUUUAAGUUGGUUUAGAAAGAACUACAUCUGUCUUUCAAUUUUGGAUAAUUAGUAUCAACUCUUGUUGGCGAAUUUUAUGGCAGGAUAGUUUAUAUCGUAUCUUUUGUGUAGUUGGAUAUAAAUUUCUUCUUUUAUGAUACUUGUGUGGAGAAGUUUUUAGGAAA
Long non-coding RNA from Papaver somniferum (opium poppy), 1130 nucleotides. RefSeq lists it as uncharacterized. The record is from RefSeq and is a predicted model, not a curated record. The transcript has 2 exons. NCBI's taxonomy places the organism in Eukaryota, Viridiplantae, Streptophyta, Magnoliopsida, Ranunculales, Papaveraceae.